RNAcentral lists this non-coding RNA (25 nucleotides) under Cricetulus griseus (Chinese hamster). Lineage: Eukaryota; Metazoa; Chordata; Mammalia; Rodentia; Cricetidae. The record is from RNAcentral.
ACAGCUCGUCAGGCCCAUCUGUACC